UACAGAGGCCCCAAGCAUUACCCGGAAUUACUGGGCGUAAAGAGUGCGUAGGUGGUCGUGUUAGUCGUUCGUUAAAGCCCACGGCUCAACCGUGGAGAUGCGGGCGAAACGGCACGACUCGAGGGCGUGAGAGGUGCAUAGAACUCUAGGUGUAGGGGUGAAAUCCGUUGAUAUCUAGGGGAAUACCGAAAGCGAAGGCAGUGCACUGGCGCGUUCCUGACACUCAAGCACGAAAGCGUGGGUAGCGAACGGG
This 253-nucleotide ribosomal RNA is filed under the name uncultured bacterium. Its description in RNAcentral is "partial 16S ribosomal RNA". It matches the Rfam family "Bacterial small subunit ribosomal RNA", at positions 524 to 776 of the family's 1533-position model. The record is from RNAcentral.